GACAAUCUGCAGCCCCUGUCUCUGGGCAGUCACCAGACCACCCCCCUGAGAACUCUCCUCUCCAAACACGGGACAAUGAGGCUUUGGUUGUAUCUCGUUCUCAUUGCAGCAGCGUUUGAAGGUGCCCGGUCCCAGGUGCAGCUGGUGGAGUCCGGAGGGGAUGUGAAAAAGCCCGGAGACUCUCUCCGCCUCUCCUGCAAAGCCUCCGGCUUCACCUUCAGCAGCUACUGGAUGGACUGGGUCGGGCAGGGUCCUGGCAAGGGGCUAGAAUGGGUCGCUGCUAUAAGCACGGGUGGGAGUAGUACAUACUACCUUGAUUCAGUGAAAGGCCGAUUCACCAUCUCCAGGGAUGAUCCCAAGAGUGAGCUGUAUCUGCAAAUGACCGGCCUGAAGCCCGAGGACACCGCCCGCUAUUACUGUGCGAGAGACACAGUGACACGAAACCGGUUUGUGAUCAGACAAAAACCCAGGCUGCGGAACCGCCCUUCUCCCGGCAGCCGCGCGGGGGCAGCAGUGACACACACCCCGCUCCGGGCUCACACAGGAGACCCGGCACCCGGGUGA
Non-coding RNA from Gopherus evgoodei (Goodes thornscrub tortoise), 564 nucleotides. The record is from the annotation of a RefSeq genome assembly. NCBI's taxonomy places the organism in Eukaryota, Metazoa, Chordata, Testudines, Testudinidae.